AAGUCGUAACAAGGUUUCCGUAGGUGAACCUGCGGAAGGAUCAUUAACACGUAUCCACGUUUUAUUAACCAACCGUGAACUUGUUUUCAACCCAUUUCUCCCUUAGUGAAUUUAUUUACUAAGGCAAAAAAUAAAUAUUUAUUUAUUUAUUUUAUUAUUAACCAAUUUAACCACCCUUUUUGCUAGUUGACUUUUUUAUAUGUUGUGCUUAAUUAAUACUUAAUUAAUUUUAAUUAACUAAUUAUUUAUUUAUUUAAUCUCACACGUUUAUUUACUUGAACGUUAAAAUCAUACAACUCUUAGCAAUGGAUAUCUAGGUUCUC
RNAcentral lists this unclassified non-coding RNA (323 nucleotides) under fungal sp. RNAcentral's name for it is "partial internal transcribed spacer region". The stretch from base 1 to 46 matches the Rfam family "Eukaryotic small subunit ribosomal RNA", at positions 1786 to 1831 of the family's 1831-position model. Lineage: Eukaryota; Fungi. The record is from RNAcentral.